CUUCAGCGACCCGAUCCACAGCGGCGUGUCCGCCGUCCGCUCCCGGCCGUAGGUGUCCAGCAGGGCCCGGGCCUC
Streptomyces varsoviensis is the source of this 75-nucleotide non-coding RNA. The record is from Rfam. NCBI's taxonomy places the organism in Bacteria, Bacillati, Actinomycetota, Actinomycetes, Kitasatosporales, Streptomycetaceae.